Molecule: unclassified non-coding RNA, 352 nt
Filed under: soil metagenome
Description: partial contains 5.8S ribosomal RNA, internal transcribed spacer 2, and large subunit ribosomal RNA
Rfam family: 5.8S ribosomal RNA (bases 1-120)
Source: RNAcentral
GAUGAAGAACGUAGCGAAAUGCGAUAAGUAAUGUGAAUUGCAGAAUUCAGUGAAUCAUCGAAUCUUUGAACGCACAUUGCGCCCGCCAGUAUUCUGGCGGGCAUGCCUGUUCGAGCGUCAUUACAACCCUCAGGCCCCCGGGCCUGGCGUUGGGGAUCGGCGGAGCCCCCCGUGGGCACACGCCGUCCCCCAAAUACAGUGGCGGUCCCGCCGCAGCUUCCAUCGCGUAGUAGCUAACACCUCGCGACUGGAGAGCGGCGCGGCCACGCCGUAAAACACCCAACUCUUCUGAAGUUGACCUCGAAUCAGGUAGGAAUACCCGCUGAACUUAAGCAUAUCAAUAAGCAGAGGA